AAAUUCAUAUUCAGGUUUAGUUUGGUAUGGGAUGUCUUGUCUCGACAUCUGGUGGAAGGCAGGCGAGUUGCUAACCGGCAGUUUUGGCAGACGGUCAUUCUGCGGAACAUUCUGCGGGAAGCACACAUCAUUCUGCGGUCAUUCUGUGGACAGAUCAUUUGUUUUGUUUUGUGUGUCGUUCACACAGUCACAGUUUCACACACUCAAUAGCAACCGGCUUUGCCUGCUUUAUUACGUGGGGCUAAUGAAGAGCAAGCAGCAACCAACUGUAGAAAAAUACCUAUUGAUCUUGAACAGCUGAAAGAUUAUCUUGCCAGUGAUUUCAAAAAUCGGGGGAUUUCUGUUUUGAUGCAGAUCAGUGAACCAACACUCUUAAACGUAGAAUCAAGAGCAUGGUUUAUCAAAAGAGAAAGCUACUCCAACAUUUCUGAUAAUGAUCUUGAUAUUGUGAUUGCCAACGUGCUCAAAAGGUUUCCCAAGUUUGGUCUACAGUUGUUGCAAGGCAAACUUGUUGCAAAUGGGUACAAAUUGCAAGAGAAGCGUUUGCAAGCUUCCUAUGCUAGAAUUGGGCUGAAGAAAGCUUAACCUGGCUUGAAACAGAUUCCUCGUGUGGUUUAUCACGCAGAUUCCCCUUUACAAAUGUGGCACAUGGAUGGAUUCCACAAAUUUGAUGGAUGGGGAUUUGUUCAUGGAAUUGUUGAUGGACAUAGUAAGGCGAUAGUGGGAAUGCAAGUUAGUGACAAUAACCGCUU
RNAcentral lists this unclassified non-coding RNA (752 nucleotides) under Daphnia magna. Its description in RNAcentral is "uncharacterized LOC123474600, transcript variant X1". Lineage: Eukaryota; Metazoa; Arthropoda; Branchiopoda; Diplostraca; Daphniidae. The record is from RNAcentral.